Stegostoma tigrinum is the source of this 476-nucleotide long non-coding RNA. RefSeq lists it as uncharacterized. The record is from RefSeq and is a predicted model, not a curated record. NCBI's taxonomy places the organism in Eukaryota, Metazoa, Chordata, Chondrichthyes, Orectolobiformes, Stegostomatidae. The transcript is spliced from 4 exons.
GCCAGACAGAACAAAGCAAUGGGAGUAUCUUUAAAGGAGCUGGAUAUACGGAGUCCAUGCCAAUGAUAAAGGCUGCUUUGAUGAAGCGAUGGAAAAGAGCUGGGUUUUCAAAGAUGCAUGUCAGGACUGGCAAAAGUCUUGACACAUUGGCAUACGUGGGAACUGUCGAAGGAGUUUAAACUUUCAAUGUGCAAUGUCCUCUCCGACUCUGCUCACUGGAAUUGAGAUACUGUGCUGCCAAUUUCUCCUUCAGUCAGGCUGAUGUUUCCAGCAGUACCACAAAACAAGUCACCCCUAGCGACAUCCUAGAACAGUAUCUUCAAUCAAGGGCAGGCCUUUUCGCUUCAGAACUGACAACUAGGAAUUAAACACCGCAUUGUUGCCUAUAGGAACACACAGGCUUCAGCAUACUUGGAAGAAAAGGCAAGCGUCUUUCCACCAGAUUCAAGAAAAAGAUCCAGAAGAGUGAUCAACAU